UACGUAGGCAGCGAGCGUUGUUCGGAGUUACUGGGCGUAAAGCGUGCGUAGGCGGUGUCUUAAGUUUGUUGUGAAAUCUCCCGGCUUAACCGGGAGGGUGCGGCGAAUACUGAGAUGCUGGAGUGCCGGAGAGGUAAGCGGAAUUCCUGGUGUAGCGGUGAAAUGCGCAGAUAUCGUAAGGAAGACCAGUGGCGAAGGCGGGUCUCUGGACAGUUCCUGACGCUGAGGCACGAAGGUCAGGGGAGCAAACGGG
RNAcentral lists this ribosomal RNA (253 nucleotides) under uncultured bacterium. RNAcentral's name for it is "partial 16S ribosomal RNA". It matches the Rfam family "Bacterial small subunit ribosomal RNA", at positions 524 to 776 of the family's 1533-position model. The record is from RNAcentral.